Molecule: ribosomal RNA, 252 nt
Filed under: uncultured bacterium
Lineage: Bacteria
Description: partial 16S ribosomal RNA
Rfam family: Bacterial small subunit ribosomal RNA
Source: RNAcentral
UACGGAGGGGGUUAGCGUUGUUCGGAAUGACUGGGCGUAAAGCGCGCGUAGGCGGGCUGGAAAGUUGGGGUGAAAUCCCGGGGCUCAACCCCGGAAUGGCCUUCAAAACUCCCAGCCUAGAGUUCGAGAGAGGUGAGUGGAAUUCCGAGUGUAGAGGUGAAAUUCGUAGAUAUUCGGAGGAACACCAGUGGCGAAGGCGGCUCACUGGCUCGACACUGACGCUGAGGUGCGAAAGCGUGGGGAGCAAACAGG